Molecule: ribosomal RNA, 1540 nt
Filed under: Staphylococcus aureus USA_15
Lineage: Bacteria; Bacillati; Bacillota; Bacilli; Caryophanales; Staphylococcaceae
Description: 16S ribosomal RNA
Rfam family: Bacterial small subunit ribosomal RNA
Source: RNAcentral
AGAGUUUGAUCCUGGCUCAGGAUGAACGCUGGCGGCGUGCCUAAUACAUGCAAGUCGAGCGAACGGACGAGAAGCUUGCUUCUCUGAUGUUAGCGGCGGACGGGUGAGUAACACGUGGAUAACCUACCUAUAAGACUGGGAUAACUUCGGGAAACCGGAGCUAAUACCGGAUAAUAUUUUGAACCGCAUGGUUCAAAAGUGAAAGACGGUCUUGCUGUCACUUAUAGAUGGAUCCGCGCUGCAUUAGCUAGUUGGUAAGGUAACGGCUUACCAAGGCAACGAUGCAUAGCCGACCUGAGAGGGUGAUCGGCCACACUGGAACUGAGACACGGUCCAGACUCCUACGGGAGGCAGCAGUAGGGAAUCUUCCGCAAUGGGCGAAAGCCUGACGGAGCAACGCCGCGUGAGUGAUGAAGGUCUUCGGAUCGUAAAACUCUGUUAUUAGGGAAGAACAUAUGUGUAAGUAACUGUGCACAUCUUGACGGUACCUAAUCAGAAAGCCACGGCUAACUACGUGCCAGCAGCCGCGGUAAUACGUAGGUGGCAAGCGUUAUCCGGAAUUAUUGGGCGUAAAGCGCGCGUAGGCGGUUUUUUAAGUCUGAUGUGAAAGCCCACGGCUCAACCGUGGAGGGUCAUUGGAAACUGGAAAACUUGAGUGCAGAAGAGGAAAGUGGAAUUCCAUGUGUAGCGGUGAAAUGCGCAGAGAUAUGGAGGAACACCAGUGGCGAAGGCGACUUUCUGGUCUGUAACUGACGCUGAUGUGCGAAAGCGUGGGGAUCAAACAGGAUUAGAUACCCUGGUAGUCCACGCCGUAAACGAUGAGUGCUAAGUGUUAGGGGGUUUCCGCCCCUUAGUGCUGCAGCUAACGCAUUAAGCACUCCGCCUGGGGAGUACGACCGCAAGGUUGAAACUCAAAGGAAUUGACGGGGACCCGCACAAGCGGUGGAGCAUGUGGUUUAAUUCGAAGCAACGCGAAGAACCUUACCAAAUCUUGACAUCCUUUGACAACUCUAGAGAUAGAGCCUUCCCCUUCGGGGGACAAAGUGACAGGUGGUGCAUGGUUGUCGUCAGCUCGUGUCGUGAGAUGUUGGGUUAAGUCCCGCAACGAGCGCAACCCUUAAACUUAGUUGCCAUCAUUAAGUUGGGCACUCUAAGUUGACUGCCGGUGACAAACCGGAGGAAGGUGGGGAUGACGUCAAAUCAUCAUGCCCCUUAUGAUUUGGGCUACACACGUGCUACAAUGGACAAUACAAAGGGUAGCGAAACCGCGAGGUCAAGCAAAUCCCAUAAAGUUGUUCUCAGUUCGGAUUGUAGUCUGCAACUCGACUACAUGAAGCUGGAAUCGCUAGUAAUCGUAGAUCAGCAUGCUACGGUGAAUACGUUCCCGGGUCUUGUACACACCGCCCGUCACACCACGAGAGUUUGUAACACCCGAAGCCGGUGGAGUAACCUUUUAGGAGCUAGCCGUCGAAGGUGGGACAAAUGAUUGGGGUGAAGUCGUAACAAGGUAGCCGUAUCGGAAGGUGCGGCUGGAUCACCU